GAGAAAAGACAUCACUUUAAUGGCAAAAAGAGGAUCGAAAAAGUGGUGUCCAUGUGAAUGAAGCAUUUUAUCCACUUACGAGUGUUUUUUUAAGUUUUUAAAGUGGUAAAUUUUGUAAUGUAUAUUAAUAUUAAGAAGGAAAAUGGUAGCAUCCAUAGUGGUUUUAUCUUAAAAAAACAUGCAUAGUUGUUUUGGUUUCUAGUUUUAUAAAGCCUUGUGGUCUUUGAUGAUCUUCAGGUGAUAGUGUGGGAGACAAGGAAUCUCUCUCUGUUUGAUGUGUGGUGUACUAUGUUUAUCAACUUGUCCUGAGCACUUUACGUGUAUACACACUCACUUACAAGCAUUUUCUUUUUAUUUAUAGUUAAAUCAAAUGCUUAUGUUAUCUAAUUGGUAGAUGUAGUUGUAUGUACUAGUUAAUGCUCUAGAUUAGCCGAGAGUCGAUGAAAAGUUAAAACCCACCAUCAUCUUGAAAUCGGUUUUUAUCCCAUAAAUUUUGUAAGUCUUCGGAGAUGCACAUCAUUAUAAGACCUUCGUUCUAAAUUUAUUCACAUAUCUCUACACUAUAGCAAGGAAACUGAUAUGUAUCGCAGUGGUAAUUCUUUUCAGAGGACAUGUUGUUCAUAUGAUUUCAUUAUAACUCACCAAGACGGUCUUGGCAAGACCAAUACUUUUGUAGUGUGGCCGCACUCACGAUGUUUAAUCUUGGGGUCAUAAGGGCCAUCCUAACCUUGAGUAUAUAUCAGUGUCAGCUUGAAUGAAAACUAGCUCGAUUUUUUUUUUUUAAACACAAUCUAGCUCGAUAUUCAUCAUCCAUAUUUUAUAGGAAAUUGAUAUUUGGUGUAUGGAUAGACAAUCCAAAAUUUGAUCCGUUUUAAAUGUUUGUGAAACUGUUUAAACUAAAAUUCAGUAAAAUAUAUAUAUAAUGUAGCAUUCAUAUGAACAUUAAUAUGAACAGUUUUUUUUGUUUUUUUUAUGAAAUAGGCAGAGUUUAUAUAUAUGCGUAUGUUACAGCAUAGCUCUUAAUGCAUUUAGCGGAAUUCUCUAUACAUAACCGAAAGAGAACUACAGUAUAUGUUAAUCCAUUGAUCUAUAAUUAAAAUUGAACAGCAACACAUAAUGACGACAUCAUUAAAAACAUACAGAAUGAUAGCAUUCCAAAUUACUAAAUUAAUAUACCAGUAAGAAACAAUAAAAAUUAGAACAUGUAAACACCUCAUCAUAUCAAUAUAGAGAAACAUAUCUUCUUCUUUUUUUGCCAGUGUAAGUGGACUAUUCGAACUUGGUGUUAAAUCUUUUGUUUAGAAAACUUAUCUUAACAAAAAUGCAAAUAAGGUUUCUAAACAAACAAGAUAUCUUUCUUAAAUAUGAAUUAUGAAAAACAAACAAGAUAUCCUUCUUAAUAUGAAAUAUAAAAAAAUCUAAUAUUACUGGAAACAAAUACAAAAUAUAAUUUUAUAUUGUUUGAUAUUUGAAUGAAGGAUUUGUAGGGUUCGGAUCCGAAUUGACUGUUCGGUUAAAAAACGAUAAACGAAACAACAAGAAAACCAUAAAUAUGGUCCGGUUCCGUUCGGUUUAAUUUACCUAAGGUAUUGCGUCUCUAUAAAUACCUUGCUCCAAGCCUCUUCUUCACUUGCCCCUCUCACUCCCUGUCUAGUGCUUAUCGUACACACCUAUGCAUAUGUAUGUAAUGUAUACGUACAUACUCUUCUCUCACUAAAAAGAUUUUAAAAUUAAAUAAGCAUCUUUUUACCAAAAAAAAGUUAGAUCAGCAUUUAUGAUAGAAAGUUAGUACAAUAUUGGUUUGUUGCGUCUGAGACUUUUCGACAGAUCGGAAAAUAACUAACCAGUCAGUAUUUUUUUUCACGCAAUUUUAUUUGUCCCUACAAAAAUGAAUACGGUCUAAAACAGAAUAUUCCGUAUUUUGUUUGGAAACGAACCAUUUACAGAUAGACACGUCAGCCCUUGGAUUCUGGAACGUAUUCUCUCUACUUCAGUCUUCAGCUAUAUAUCUACUUUACUCGUCUCCUUGUUUCUUUCACUUCUUCUUCUCAGAUAGAAUAGACAUAGCGAAAAGAUAAAUCAGAUCUUUUUUCUGCUUGUCUAGUUAGCAAUUAUUAUUACUGACUAUUCAAUCAAAUUUCUUUUCGUUCUGUUAAUUUGUAUAGUAAUAUAUACUCGAUCUCUUUAGUGUGUGUGUAAAUCUGAUAUAAGUUCUCGACGGAUCCGUGGAAGAGAGCUCAUCAGUCGUUUUCUGUAGGUGCAGCACCAUUAAGAUUCACAUGGAAAUUGAAAAAACCCUAAAUUAUAUUAAUUAGGGUUCUGAUAUGUAUAUGAGAAUCUUGAUGAUGCUGCAUCAACAACCAACGGCUACCAAACACCUAACGCUUCAGAAAGAAAUGAUGUCUGGAUCUUCGGUAAUGCGAUGAUCAAGAACAACACGACAUUGACCACAAAUCGAAUACUUGUGUCAUUUUAAUUUUUUACUAUCUGUUAUAAACUUCGUCUCCAGACAUUUCUCAGUUUCACAACACGAUUGUAGUAACAUUUAUCCAAGUCUUUCAACUUCUAUUUCUGAGGUAUCAUUUGAUCUUAAUUCUCUGUUAUUGUUCUAAUUUGUAGUAUUAUAAAUAUGGUUUGUAUGCCAAAUCAAAUCAAACAUUAUGGAGUGUUGUACAUUGUACCAGAACUUUGUUUUCAAGUGGCUCAACUUGAGAAAUAUUUGUCCCUUUGUUUUCGUUUAAAUAUCUGUAAAAGAAAAUAAGAAGAGAGCAUGUGAACA
Long non-coding RNA from Brassica napus (rape), 2779 nucleotides. RefSeq lists it as uncharacterized. NCBI's taxonomy places the organism in Eukaryota, Viridiplantae, Streptophyta, Magnoliopsida, Brassicales, Brassicaceae. The record is from RefSeq and is a predicted model, not a curated record. The transcript has 2 exons.